This 446-nucleotide ribosomal RNA is filed under the name uncultured bacterium. RNAcentral's name for it is "partial 16S ribosomal RNA". It matches the Rfam family "Bacterial small subunit ribosomal RNA", at positions 338 to 795 of the family's 1533-position model. The record is from RNAcentral.
CCUACGGGUGGCAGCAGUCGAGAAUCAUUCACAAUGGGGGAAACCCUGAUGGUGCGACGCCGCGUGGGGGAAUGAAGGUCUUCGGAUUGUAAACCCCUGUCAUGUGGGAGCAAAUUAAAAAGAUAGUACCACAAGAGGAAGAGACGGCUAACUCUGUGCCAGCAGCCGCGGGAAUACAGAGGUCUCAAGCGUUGUUCGGAAUCACUGGGCGUAAAGCGUGCGUAGGCUGUUUCGUAAGUCGUGUGUGAAAGGCGCGGGCUCAACCCGCGGACGGCACAUGAUACUGCGAGACUAGAGUAAUGGAGGGGGAACCGGAAUUCUCGGUGGAGCAGUGAAAUGCGUAGAUAUCGAGAGGAACACUCGUGGCGAAGGCGGGUUCCUGGACAUUAACUGACGCUGAGGCACGAAGGCCAGGGGAGCGAAAGGGAUUAGAUACCCCAGUAGUC